GUACACACCGCCCGUCACACCAUGGGAGUGGAAUCCGCCAGAAGUGGGUAGCCUAACCGCAAGGAGGGCGCUUACCACGGUAGGUUUCAUGACUGGGGUGAAGUCGUAACAAGGUAGCCGUAGGUGAACCUGCAGAAGGAUCA
This 143-nucleotide ribosomal RNA is filed under the name uncultured eukaryote. RNAcentral describes it as "partial small subunit ribosomal RNA". It matches the Rfam family "Bacterial small subunit ribosomal RNA", at positions 1383 to 1525 of the family's 1533-position model. The record is from RNAcentral.